This 450-nucleotide ribosomal RNA is filed under the name Cryptosporidium sp. RNAcentral's name for it is "SSU rRNA". It matches the Rfam family "Eukaryotic small subunit ribosomal RNA", at positions 596 to 1081 of the family's 1831-position model. Lineage: Eukaryota; Apicomplexa; Conoidasida; Eucoccidiorida; Cryptosporidiidae. The record is from RNAcentral.
AGCGUAUAUUAAAGUUGUUGCAGUUAAAAAGCUCGUAGUUGGAUUUCUGUUAAUUGCUUUAUAUAAUUAUGCUUUGCAUAUUUAUAUAGUAUUAACAUAAUUCAUAUUACUAUUUUUAGUAUAUGAAACUUUACUUUGAGAAAAUUAGAGUGCUUAAAGCAGGCUUUUGCCUUGAAUACUUCAGCAUGGAAUAAUAUUAAAGAUUUUUAUCUUUCUUAUUGGUUCUAAGAUAGAAAUAAUGAUUAAUAGGGACAGUUGGGGGCAUUUGUAUUUAACAGUUAGAGGUGAAAUUCUUAGAUUUGUUAAAGACAAACUAGUGCGAAAGCAUUUGCCAAGGAUGUUUUCAUUAAUCAAGAACGAAGGUUAGGGGAUCGAAGACGAUCAGAUACCGUCGUAGUCUUAACCAUAAACUAUGCCAACUAGAGAUUGGAGGUUGUUCCUUACUCCUUC